AGAGUUUGAUCAUGGCUCAGAUUGAACGCUGGCGGUAUGCCUUACACAUGCAAGUCGAACGGUAGAGGGGCAACCCUUGAGAGUGGCGAACGGGUGAGUAAUACAUCGGAACGUGCCCAGUCGUGGGGGAUAACGUAGCGAAAGCUACGCUAAUACCGCAUACGACCCGAGGGUGAAAGCGGGGGACUCGCAAGAGCCUCGCGCGAUUGGAGCGGCCGAUGGCAGAUUAGGUAGUUGGUGGGGUAAAGGCCCACCAAGCCUGCGAUCUGUAGCUGGUCUGAGAGGACGACCAGCCACACUGGGACUGAGACACGGCCCAGACUCCUACGGGAGGCAGCAGUGGGGAAUUUUGGACAAUGGGCGAAAGCCUGAUCCAGCCAUACCGCGUGCGGGAAGAAGGCCUUCGGGUUGUAAACCGCUUUUGUCAGGGAAGAAAUCCUUUGGGUUAAUACCUCGGAUGGAUGACGGUACCUGAAGAAUAAGCACCGGCUAACUACGUGC
Molecule: ribosomal RNA, 501 nt
Filed under: uncultured Leptothrix sp.
Lineage: Bacteria; Pseudomonadati; Pseudomonadota; Betaproteobacteria; Burkholderiales; Sphaerotilaceae
Description: bacterial SSU rRNA
Rfam family: Bacterial small subunit ribosomal RNA
Source: RNAcentral